UUUUGAUUAAAUUAGCAUAUGGAAUUACUCAAACUCUAUGCUGUUCUCGUGUUUUCAGGUUCAGUGGGACGAACCUGCAUCCAUUCCAAGACCUGAAAGGGUUUCUCCAUGGGAGAUAGAACCAUUUGUGGCUUCAGUUCCCACAAGCCUGGUUCAACCAUCGGCAGCAAAAAAUAAAAGGCCAAGAUUGCAUGUUGAAACCCCAGUUCCUGGUUCAACAUUCUUGCAUACCCUUUUUUCCCAAACUUUCUAGCAUUUUUAUGUAUUAGGACUUCAUUUAAUUUUGUUGCUAUUUCCUAUGUGGUAGAUACUCCAAGUUCAACAGCAUCAGCUGUGUGGAAUCCGUCCCGCGAAUCACAUCAAGUAAUGGGCUCUCUUGAAGAACAAAGGAGUGAACAAGUUGACACUGGUGGCACUCUCAUCAGAAACAGAAACGGCAACACUUCUGGAACUCUUUUAGAGGGAGACUGGCUAUCUCCUGAUGUGAAUUCGUCUCUUAAUAUGUUUUCUGAAGAAACAGAAGAGAGCAAAAGUGCAUCGGCUUGGUCUAUUUUUUCAAACUGUUCAGCCCCAAAUUCUGGAAAACGGAGUAAUAGUCGCAUUUCUUGCCUGAAUGAUGGGAGGAAAUUAGAUGCGUCUGCAACUUGCAGAUUAUUUGGUAUUGAUUUGAACAGCCCUUUGACGGGUGCUGCCCUUCUCGAGAAAUCCUCUCUAAAAUCAGUUGAUAAACUAAAUGAUGCUUCUGAAGGAUGCGUCUCAAAUCAACGGCAGCAGUUACAAGUACCAGUAAAGGAGGUUCCUAGCAGACAGAAUCACUCCACUAGAAGUCGCACCAAGGUAUAAUUUCACCUUCUACUUUUAACAACAAAGUAUUAUUGAUUGAGCGUUUACUGAAUUGAAAGAGUAAUUAAUAAUAACUAUUUGUUUCUUUGGUGUGAAAUACUUUGAGAAGGUUCAAAUGCAAGGUGUUGCUGUGGGUCGUGCUGUGGACCUAACUGCGUUAAAGGGAUACGAUGAGCUUAUAAGUGAAAUUGAAGAGAUGUUCGAAAUAAAGGGUGAGCUUCAGCUCCGACAUAAUUGGGAGAUUGUUUUCACUGAUGACGAAGGAGACAUGAUGCUUAUGCGCGAUUAUCCAUGGCUGUACGUAUUAUUUGUAUUUUUCAUCUAGACAUAUCAUCUACUUCAACGGUUAUAUGAUACUAUUAUUUUCUUGCAGAGAAUUCUGUGAUAAGGUGCAGAGGAUUUUCAUCUAUUCUAGCCAAGAUGUGAAAAAAAUGAGAGCAGGAAGCAAGCUUCCUCUAUCUUCGACAGACAACUGAAGGAGAUGCUUUAACUUGGAAGUUGGUGAAGAUUAAAAUUAAAUUAAUUUCACAUUUUCUUGUUCAUCCCUGCUUUUUCCUUUUAAUUUGUUUUUCAAUGGAAAAAGCUUCAGUUUUUCGCUGUUGUAGAGGUCUUGAGGAAUUUCUUGUUUGUUUCUCUGAUUCUGUGUCAUCAAGAUGGAUGGCUAUAGAUAUGGAUGUAGCAUCAGGCUAACAACCAAGAAAACUAGCUGUUUGCGACUAGAAAUUUUACGAGUAAUCGGGGGUGGGAUUAGGAUUAGAAUCUGUGUAUAUCAGAGGUGUUUCCGGUGGAUUUGGAUGUAAAUAUAAAUUUCUUGGCAUCUGGUUUAUAAAUUGCCAGGUUCUUUUGGAAAUGUGUACUUCAAUAAUCCAGGGCAUUUCAUUUUCUUCCUUGCAUGCAUAGUUAAAUUGAAUUCAAGGUUCUGGUUCAAUGGAUAUGUGG
This 1782-nucleotide long non-coding RNA is filed under the name Olea europaea subsp. europaea. Lineage: Eukaryota; Viridiplantae; Streptophyta; Magnoliopsida; Lamiales; Oleaceae. The record is from RNAcentral.